Molecule: long non-coding RNA, 227 nt
Filed under: Homo sapiens (human)
Lineage: Eukaryota; Metazoa; Chordata; Mammalia; Primates; Hominidae
Description: non-protein coding lnc-INPP4B-4:1
Source: RNAcentral
GUGGGUUUCACUGAAAAACAAUGGCCUAUGAUAAUUGUUGAAAAUAGGUGAUAGGGAUAAAAAGUUAAAAAAAAACCCACAAAGAAUAUUCUAGAUCUCUUUUUGAGAGAAGACUUAAGGAAGGCAUGGGGGAUUACAGCAGAAGCAGGGAGAUUAGUUAAAUCACUAUUGGAGUAAUCUAGGAGAUAGUUGGUUGUGGCUUGGACCAGGGUUAUUAACAGUGGAGG